Molecule: small nuclear RNA, 191 nt
Organism: Manis pentadactyla (Chinese pangolin)
Lineage: Eukaryota; Metazoa; Chordata; Mammalia; Pholidota; Manidae
Product: U2 spliceosomal RNA
Exons: 1
Source: RefSeq, a predicted model, not a curated record
AUCAUUUCUGGGCCUUUUAGCUAAGAUCAAGUGUCGUAUCUGUUCUUCUCAGUUCAAUAUCUGAUAUGUCCUUUAUCUGAGGACAAUAUAUUAAAUGCAUUUUUGGAGCAGGGAGAUGGACUAGGAGCUUGCUUUGGCCACUCCACCCUUUGACCUGGUAUUGCAUUACCUCCAGAAACAGUGCACCCCUC